UCCUGGUGGCUCAGACCAUAAAGAAUCUGUCUGCAACACAGGAGACCCAGGUUCAAUCCCUGGGUCAGGAA
RNAcentral lists this transfer RNA (71 nucleotides) under Bos taurus (domestic cattle). It matches the Rfam family "tRNA". Rfam says of the family: Transfer RNA (tRNA) molecules are approximately 80 nucleotides in length. Their secondary structure includes four short double-helical elements and three loops (D, anti-codon, and T loops). Further hydrogen bonds mediate the characteristic L-shaped molecular structure. tRNAs have two regions of fundamental functional importance: the anti-codon, which is responsible for specific mRNA codon recognition, and the 3' end, to which the tRNAs corresponding amino acid is attached (by aminoacyl-tRNA synthetases). tRNAs cope with the degeneracy of the genetic code in two manners: having more than one tRNA (with a specific anti-codon) for a particular amino acid; and 'wobble' base-pairing, i.e. permitting non-standard base-pairing at the 3rd anti-codon position. RNAcentral also lists the same sequence under 5 other names. Lineage: Eukaryota; Metazoa; Chordata; Mammalia; Artiodactyla; Bovidae. The record is from Rfam by way of RNAcentral.